RNAcentral lists this ribosomal RNA (431 nucleotides) under uncultured bacterium. Its description in RNAcentral is "partial 16S ribosomal RNA". It matches the Rfam family "Bacterial small subunit ribosomal RNA", at positions 29 to 507 of the family's 1533-position model. The record is from RNAcentral.
AACGAACGCUGGCGGCAGGCCUAACACAUGCAAGUCGAGCGCGCCUUCGGGUGAGCGGCGGACGGGUGAGUAACGCGUGGGAAUAUGCCCUUCUCUACGGAAUAGUCCUGGGAAACUGGGGGUAAUACCGUAUACGCCCUUUGGGGGAAAGAUUUAUCGGGGAAGGAUUAGCCCGCGUUGGAUUAGGUAGUUGGUGGGGUAAUGGCCUACCAAGCCGUCGAUCCAUAGCUGGUUUGAGAGGAUGAUCAGCCACACUGGGACUGAGACACGGCCCAGACUCCUACGGGAGGCAGCAGUGGGGAAUCUUAGACAAUGGGGGCAACCCUGAUCUAGCCAUGCCGCGUGAGUGAUGAAGGCCUUAGGGUUGUAAAGCUCUUUCAGCUGGGAAGAUAAUGACGGUACCAGCAGAAGAAGCCCCGGCUAACUCCGUG